This is a long non-coding RNA of Oncorhynchus tshawytscha (Chinook salmon), 2854 nucleotides long. The record is from Ensembl. Lineage: Eukaryota; Metazoa; Chordata; Actinopteri; Salmoniformes; Salmonidae.
GGGGGGGCAUUAUUUUGUGGCUGUGGUGACUAGUGACAACCGCUUUCAUUGAGCAGUACUACGACUGGCUCGACUACACGAGCCAGUCGAGCUCCUGAAUAGCUAACUAGCUUUAGCAUGCUAAAACAUUAGCCUGUCUUCUCCAGUUAAACUUCUAAAUGUCUUAGUGGGUUUAGCAUGCUAAGCCUUUAGCUUGUCAGGGAGGGAAAGACGUGCAUGGGUUCUCAGGAGGGGGGCUAACAUUCUAUUGAAAUUGUGAAACCCUUUCAAAUCGUUUUUAUUGUGUUCAUAUUUCUUUCCCAAGUUUUUUGUGGCUGUGUUAUGAAAGGCCUUGUUUCUUGAUGUCAGUGCUAAGAGCUUUCCCGUUACUAGCAGUUUCCUAAUCGCAGCAUAACCUGCCAGGACUUCACACUCAUUUGACAAGAUGUCAUACGAAACAAAAUGGUCAUAUGAAAGGGAAAAAAAUAGAAUGAAUAAAGGCUAGUUUGAGCAUUCAGUCGACCGCAAGGAAAAUAAAGCUCUGAGCAAUGUACUCACAUUAGGAGCCAUUUGAGAUUUUUUCCCCCUCUUUUCCUUAUUUUUUUUUUUGUUGCACGGAUUAAUUCCCAUAUUCACAGUGUGCCUAGAGCAUGCUUGUCCCUUCCAUGUCUGAGCAGUAAGCAGAUGCGAGAGAAAUGGUCGCUUUCCCCCACAAGGAAACCGUACCCAGUGGAAUACAUUGAGGGUCUAUGCUGACAACAUGGUGGCUGUCUUAGUAAGGGAAGCCUCCACACACCCUCCCUUGACCUACUGCUUAUGGCGUGAGUAAAUGCUCGCCAUAACGUGAUGUCUCAAUUAUGCCAUAUCACUGCUGGCAAAACUGUGCAGAAAAUCAUGCCUUUCCCAGUGAUCGGAACAGAAGCUUGGGAGGAAAGCAGUGGCUGUGCUUGACUUAUGACUGAAUAGAUGAAGAUUUGCUGUUUUAACAUGAUGCCUGAUGAGUCGGUUUGUUGCAACCCUCGUCUUCGAAGCCUCACAGGCCCAAGUUUCAUCAAUUUCAUCUUCAUACGGUGCAAUGUUCAUGAGAGUUGCCUGGGAGAAGUGUGCAUAUUCAUGAAAUGUGAUGAGUCCUAUUCAGUUAAUAUGUAAGAUUGGGGUGGUAAGUUACACAGAGAAACAGAAAGGGUACCGUGUUCAUGAAGGAGUGUAUUUGCCAUAGCUUUGGCUUCAUAUACACUAGAGAUCCCCACUGUGGAAAAUCCAGCACUGCCAAAGGCACUGAUUUGCUUUUUCUAGUAAAAAAACUCCCUUUGUAUUCUGUUUCACCAUUACACAGUAAGAAACACACUAUUUUCUUAACACUCAAUGUGUUGUGAGCCCACACCCAAGGUGUUUCAUUUGUAACCCCAAUUCCAUAAGUUACGUGUGAGUCUGCGUUAAGUGCAAUGCUUCUGUUUUUGUUUUACAUGCCAAGUUUGUAUCCAAAACGUGAACAACUGUUACAGAAUGGUGACUGAAUACUCAGUUUUGUUGUAUUGUUUUUGUAUUUAUCUUUCCUAGUCAAGUGAAAUUAUAGUUCAGCUUGUACAGAAUGAAAUCUUGAUUUUUCCCUGGUAGCCAACUCUUAAAACAAGUCCAUAGUUACAUUUACCUUUUACUGCAGUGGGCUAAUUCAGGGUCAUGCAGAGUGUUUCUUGGUAGUUUUAAAGUAAUACUACUUUGAAACAAUAGUAUACACCUGUUCCAAAUCAGAUAUAGAGUUGUAUAACAUUUUGAAUCUGCAUCCUAAUAUUAACUUUAUAUACAUCACAGAAAACUGAAAUAUUAAAUAAAUAAAUAGAAAACGCUGGAAUAGAAACACAGAGUUUUUGGCAUGAAAAAAAUAGACGUUUAUUAAUUAUGAAUAAUGAAUAAAUAAUGCAUAAUAUUUAUAACAUUCCACCCAUGAGGCCACUAGGUAAUUUGACUGCAGGAAGACCAAAAAUUGAAAAUUGUGAUAACACAUACUAGAAUGUCAUUUUAUGCAUUUUGGAAAUUAAUAUAUCAAAGUUUGACUGUAUUUGAUUUGAAAUUGAAGAUGGAUAUCUCAUUCUUGAUUUACUGGUACAAUGAAAUCAGAGACGAAAGCAACUUUCCCCAUUUGUGAUUAUUGUAUUUUCCCCUGUAGCCUGGUCCCAGAUCUGUUAGUGCUGAAUAGCCAACUCUCAGCUAAGCAGCACAAACAGAUCUGGGACCAAGCUAUUUCCCUUGUGCUGUAGGGUGAAAAAUGUGUGCUGUGUAUGCAUAGAGAGUAGCAACAGUGUUGCAGGUGGCAACAGUAACCUGUAAAGGGACUGAACCACCAGUGGUAUUAAAGGAUCCCCUGACUGGGCCAAACCAUCUCCCUCUGACUGGGCCAAACCAUCUCCCUCUGACUUGGCCAAACCAUCUCAUGCUCACCCUGUAUUUUUGGUAUUCUUACUUGAGAUCUGCACUACGGUUUCCAUAUUAAGUACAUGCUUAACUAAUACGUCUCUUAUUGUCAUGAAAGUUAAAUUAUUGUUAGGAAAGUCUGAUUUGCGCAAGUCAUUGAGGAGACGGGGGCUUGUGAAACUAUUAGGUGUCAUUCAUUUGGUGUCAAUUGAUUACUAGCUCAAUCAGGAAGAGAGCGAAUGUUUGGAUCAACAUUCACACUCGUUGAUGGUGCACUUUAACUUUCUAUUAUUCUGCUAAGCUACGGAAUGGUUUGAUUUGAAUUUCAUGAGUGCUGCCUUGCCACAGAAAGCGAGUGAAUUACUUCCAAAUAGUUCAAUGCUGCCACAUAAAUAAAUACAUUUUGUUAGUCCUUCAUAUUGUAAUUUGUAAAAUGAUGACAUGAUGAAUAAAGAAAAUAUAA